RNAcentral lists this transfer RNA (74 nucleotides) under Fimbriiglobus ruber. It matches the Rfam family "tRNA". From Rfam's summary of the family: Transfer RNA (tRNA) molecules are approximately 80 nucleotides in length. Their secondary structure includes four short double-helical elements and three loops (D, anti-codon, and T loops). Further hydrogen bonds mediate the characteristic L-shaped molecular structure. tRNAs have two regions of fundamental functional importance: the anti-codon, which is responsible for specific mRNA codon recognition, and the 3' end, to which the tRNAs corresponding amino acid is attached (by aminoacyl-tRNA synthetases). tRNAs cope with the degeneracy of the genetic code in two manners: having more than one tRNA (with a specific anti-codon) for a particular amino acid; and 'wobble' base-pairing, i.e. permitting non-standard base-pairing at the 3rd anti-codon position. Lineage: Bacteria; Pseudomonadati; Planctomycetota; Planctomycetia; Gemmatales; Gemmataceae. The record is from Rfam by way of RNAcentral.
GGCACGGUCCGCUAAUUGGCAACGCGGCCAAGCUCAAACCUUGGUGAUUGUGGGUUCGACUCCCACCCGUGCUA